RNAcentral lists this ribosomal RNA (286 nucleotides) under Oxyrrhis marina. RNAcentral's name for it is "partial Bacterial large subunit ribosomal RNA". It matches the Rfam family "Bacterial large subunit ribosomal RNA", at positions 777 to 1063 of the family's 2925-position model. The record is from RNAcentral. Lineage: Eukaryota; Dinophyceae; Oxyrrhinales; Oxyrrhinaceae.
AACCCACGUAUGUUGAAAAAUGCGGGGAUGACGUGUGGCUAGGGGUGAAAGGCCAAUCAAACCCGGAAAUAGCUGGUUCUCCGCGAAAUCUAUUUAGGUAGAGCGUCUCGUAUUACCCUCGGGGGUAGAGCACUGGAUGGGCUAGGGGGUCGCGAGAUCUACCAAACCUAACCAAACUCCGAAUACCAACGAGUCUUAUCCGGCAGACAGACGGCGGGUGCUAAGGUCCGUCGUCGAAAGGGAAACAGCCCAGACCUCCAGCUAAGGUCCCAAAGGGCAUGUUAAG